GAAGUGAAAUCCUAUGGCUCAACCAUAGAACUGCUUCCAAAACUAUUUAACUAGAGUCUGGGAGGGGAAGAUGGAAUUAGUAGUGUAGGGGUAAAAUCCGUAGAGAUUACUAGGAAUACCAAAAGCGAAGGCGAUCUUCUGGAACAGUACUGACGCUGAGAUGCGAAAGCGUGGGGAGCAAACAGGAUUAGAUACCCUGGUAGUCCACGCAGUAAACGAUGAAUGUUAGUCGUUGGGUCUCUAGUAGAUUCAGUGAUGCAGUUAACACAUUAAACAUUCCGCCUGGGGAGUACGGUCGCAAGAUUAAAACUCAAAGGAAUAGACGGGGACCCGCACAAGUGGUGGAGCAUGUGGUUUAAUUCGAAGAUACGCGAAGAACCUUACCUAGCCUUGACAUUGAGAGAAUCCGACAGAGAUGUUGGAGUGCCUUCGGGAGCUUGAAAACAGGUGCUGCACGGCUGUCGUCAGCUCGUGUCGUGAGAUGUUGGGUUAAGUCCCGCAACGAGCGCAACCCUCGUUCUUAGUUACUAACGAUUCGGCUGAGGACUCUAAGGAGACUGCCUUCGUAAGGAGGAGGAAGGUGAGGACGACGUCAAGUCAUCAUGCCCCUUAUGGCUAGGGCNACACACGUGCUACAAUGGUUAGGACAAUGAGACGCGAUACUGCGAGGUGGAGCAAAUCUUAAACCUAAUCUCAGUUCGGAUUGCAGUCUGCAACUCGACUGCAUGAAGCUGGAAUCGCUAG
This 744-nucleotide ribosomal RNA is filed under the name uncultured Campylobacterota bacterium. RNAcentral's name for it is "bacterial SSU rRNA". It matches the Rfam family "Bacterial small subunit ribosomal RNA", at positions 591 to 1338 of the family's 1533-position model. The record is from RNAcentral. Lineage: Bacteria; Pseudomonadati; Campylobacterota.